CAAUUUAGCUCGCGAGCAAAUGUUUGCCGUUUCUUACGAUGCCAUUUAUUAUUUCUUGCAGGAUUUUCGCUGUCUAGGGAGUGCUUGAGGUUUGGGCACGGCACGCCACAAUCGACUUUGCGUCGCGUCUUUGCGCGUUUUGGUCGUUUUGCCGCUACGGUAUUUCAAAUGUCUUUCGCGUUUUCUUUUUUUUUUUUUAAUGCUGGCCAGCAUUUUUUCAUUCGUUUGUUUGUCGAAGGUUCGUAAAUGACGCCGCCGAUAAGCGCGUGUUUAUCUGACUAUAUGAAAUGUUAGUUCGACUAUAGUCAAUUAAACAAUUCUUUAUUAAUUUAUAUUAUGCGUGUGCCAUUUCCGUGUUAUGCAAACUGAGGAAUGUAACUAAUUUGUUACGUCAUGUCCAAAUCAGACCAAAUCUAUUCAAAGAUAACGCCCGCCCGCCCUCGUUCCGUUACGCAACAAACAUUUGCACGGGUUAUUUUCUCCCGUUUUGGACGCCGCAAACCUGGAUCAUCUGUCCAAUGUGAGCACUAAAAAAGGCCGCCCAGCCAGCAUCCUUCUAUACAAAGCAAGCAGGAGGCUCUUGAGGAGCCAUUUCAGUGAUGUUGAGGACACUGAGGAAGAGUAGUCCUAAAUCAGGCUGCAAGAGAAGCCGAAUGGGAUGAGGAAAAGUAUCAUUCCAUAUCCAAAGGCGCAAUGGCCUAUCCAAAGAACAAUGCCAUUUCAAAAGGAGCAAUGCCCUAUCCAAAGGAGCAAUGCCCUAUCCAAAGGAGCAAUGCCCUAUCCAAAGGAGCAAUGCCCUAGCCAAAGGCGCAAUGCCCUAUCCAAAGGCGCAAUGCCCUAUCCAAAGGCGCAAUGCCCUAUCCAAAGGCGCAAUGCCCUAUCCAAAGGCGCAAUGCCCUAUCCAAAGGCGCAAUGCCCUAUCCAAAGGCGCAAUGCCCUAUCCAAAGGCGCAAUGCCCUAUCCAAAGGAGCAAUGCCCUAUCCAAAGGAGCAAUGGCCAUAUGCAAAGGAGCAAUGGCCAUAUGCAAAGGAGCAAUGGCCAUAUGCAAAGGAGCAAUGGCCAUAUGCAAAGGAGCAAAGGCCUUAUGCAAAGGAGCAAUGCCAUGUCAAGUCAAGAAUGAAGCAGCAUGCUGCAAAAGUCGACGUGUACGGAUCAUGUGCCCAGGAGGGGGCAGUGUGGUUGCCUUUGGUUAUGGGUGCACGACGGAAAGGUUGCAGGUGUGGACAGUGUUUGGGGCUCUGAUGGUUGGUCUUGCUUAAGAGGUGUGCUGUGGUUGCGGCUUGUCUGGAUCCAGCGUUGUCUUGCGCUUGGUUGCCAUUGAUGGCUCACUUGGGGGAGGACGUGGUUACGUGGAUGGACACAAAACCAAACUUUGCCAUAUGACUUGUACCAUUUUGUCUUUUUCUAACCUGCCACUGUCGUACUUGCUGCGUUCUUUGUUCUCCCCCCUCGGUGUAGGGCGGCGUUGGAGCGAGCCCAUCCCGAAUGUCCAAUUUUGCAAUUUGACUUGUGACAUUUUGUCUUUUUCUAACCUACCACUGUUGCACUUGCUCUAACCCUAACCUACCACUGUGAUACUUGCGUUCUUUGUUCUCCCCUAGGUGUUGGAGCGAGACAUUCACAUUUUGUGUCUUUUUCUAACCUACCACUGUCGUGCUUGAUCUAAGCCUAACCUACUACUGUGCGUCCUUUGUUCUCUAGGUGUAGGGGGCGGUGUUGGGGCGAGCCGGUCCACGAGGAAGACGUAAUGAUGCGAGCUGCGCCCAACUCAUUGCAUGUUCUGCCUUUUGCAGGCCGGACGCAAAAGGGGGGGCGGCGCACGGCCCGAUCCGACCCGGCGACGGUCACCAAGAGUAGCUAGCCGCUGUGAUCAAAUGGCGACCGGGACGCGACACCAUCUGAUCAGAGGUGGACGGACCGCUGUGGCAUCGCUCUGAAGUAGCCUAGUUCUGAGGGAGACCCGCUUCCCUGGAGGCGUCGACCUGCGCAGCUUCAACGUGUGAAAUGGAUUUAUUUAUUUUUUUUAAAUUCACACCAGCGGUGUCCAAAUGUCUGUUUGAGGGCUGCAUACUGAAACAAAUUCAGAAUUCUUUGACACAAAUUCAUUAAAUCAAUCACGGAAUUUUGCCAUUCAUAUUUUGUGCUACUGCUACAAAGCGGUGUUGUGUUCAUUCAUGUGGUGUGUUGAUAAAGUUGCCCCGAGGCUGCCAUUUGGACACCAAUGGUGACAUGUGUAGGGCUGCACGCGUAUUGGAAAACUGCCAUAUGGUGGUAUAGGUUAUUGACAUGCACUUUAAGAAAGCUUUUAAGAUUUUUUUUUAAUGUGGCAAAUGAAACAUGUUUUCUUGCCUAACUAUUUGUAAUGAGUUUAGAAGAUAAGUCAUUGAUGCAAGUUAAAGUUAACUAAUCUCACUGAUCUCAUUGCGAUUAAAUAGUUCACCUCCAUCCCAGAAUUUUGCACAACUUUGCUCAAUGCAACGGUCUGGCCCAAUAUGCCAUAUCACUGAUUUUCCAACAUGUCGUGCAGCCCUGAUUGAGUGCCAAACGCGCAGCGACGGCAAGCGACCGCGCAAGCGACGGCAAGCGCAAGCGACCGCGCAAGCGACGGCAAGCGCAAGCGACCGCGCAAGCGACCGCGCAAGCGACGGCAAGCGCAAGCGACGGCAAGCGCAAGCGACGGCAAGCGCAAGCGACGGCAAGCGCAAGCGACGGCAAGCGCAAGCGACGGCAAGCGCAAGCGACGGCAAGCGCAAGCGACGGCAAGCGCAAGCGACUGCGCAGCGAGACUUUUGUGCUUGUCUUGAGAGGUGGAAGAGACAAUGCACGAAACGAAGAGCCGGCGGACGGAGGCCACCAGACCAGUGAGCGGGGUGCAAAGGAAGGAAUCACCCAAAGAAAGCAGUCGCCAAGUGAUUAAGAAGAGCCUGACGCAUGACUGGCCAAGGCUGGCCAGAGGGUUGCCGGGGCAGCGGAUGGGACGAGCGCCAGCCCGCACCGAGAGGGACCGGGCCGCACCCACAAGACCAGGGAGGGGGCAGGCGGAAGACGAGUCCAACACCGGCCGGAGCAGACCCGGACCUUGGCCCGUGACGAGCGGCGAUGCGGCGAGGCCGGGAGGGCAAAGCGCCCAGCCAGCGUUGAGGGGGAGUAUGACUUUGGUUUUUCUUUUGCGCUUUCCCUACCCCUGUCUGUUUGAAUAGGAUAACUAGCAGCACGCACGGGCAAUUGGGUUGCUGUGACCCUCUAGAUACGAAUUGGCAAAGUAGACACCCCCUUCCUCCCUCCCUCCCUCUCUCGCUCUCUUUCUCUGAUGCGCCCGGCAGUACCUGCAUGGCCUGGUGCACUCAGGGUGGAACGUGGCUAUACCUUGCCCUUUGUGGAAUACCAGGGUAUAAUGUCUGCCUGCCUGGGUCCCAGUGUCGUCGACGGUGUCGAGGUCGAUGAGAUUCUCCGUGACGCCCUCCGUGACGUCACGUUUUCCUUUUUUUUUUCCUCUCGGGGCCAAGCCAGCUCUCCUGGCCGGUUGUGCUUUAGUGCGCACCAAAGCCUCUUCUCAUCUCCUCUUGCUCUCUCUCUCCCUCCAUCCCUCCCUUUUUGUAAGGGGUUAAACCUUUCAUAACCCGGAUCGCUCCAAUGCGGGAGGGCCGUAUGAGACAUGCGCCAGCCCGUGCGUGCCGCUAGUUGCCUGAUUCAAACUUACCUGUCAAGGUCGCUAGUGGAAAUUUUCCUCUUGCCAAAACCACCACAAUAUGUCUGCCUUUCAGGAUUGCCGAGGCAGCUGAUCGGACGAGUGCCUGCACAGAGAGGGACCGGAGCGCGAGACCAGAGGUUGCGCGAGGCGGAGGAUGAGUCCAAACGUCGAAUACGGGCCGGGAGGGGACCCGAACCAUCGGCCGACCUUCGCCCGUGACGAGCGGCCUACACGAGACGGACGGACGGACGGGUGCAGAUGCGGCGAGGGCAAAGUGCCCAGCCAGCAUUUAAGGAGAGUAUCACUUUGGUUUUCCUUUUUGUGCUUUCUUUCUUUCACUCCCUCCACCUUUUCACUGGGUGUGCACACUGGCUGUCUGCAUGAUGCCUCUUUCUUUCUCAGCGCGUCAUUUUGCAAUAUUGUUUUAUUGUUGUUUUUUUUAAUACAUGAAGUGAACUGUUUGGACUGUAAUUGUGUGUACCUCUGAACCUGAAUUAAACUGAACUGAGUUCAAGUGGUCCAUUUUAAACAUUGGCAUGCGCACAUACAAACUGGAAUCAUUUGAGACAUUCUCAAUGAUCAGGCAAUUGUAAAGUUAGUCUCAAACAAAAUUGUCUUGUUAAAUAUGCAGUGUCAGGCUUUUUAUUUUUACUCCACAAAGAAAAGCUGUAUGCAUUCUAAAUGGUUGACAAAAGCCAAGUAGCCUGACACCCAUAGAUUCAAACGACAAGCGUAAGUGUACAGUGUCGUGAUACAUAAGUCUUCUUUGGCAACCCUGCUUUAAAAUGGCCACCGAACUCAAUCUUGCUUUAUGUUGGUGCAUUUUUCUGUAUGAGUAAAAGUCCAUUUUAAUCAAGUCUGGCUUUUUUUUUUUUUAAAUCAUGCAUGUGGGCAUUCUUGUGAAUAAAGUCCACGUUGGUGUGUUUUCUUCCGGUUUGUGGUCUUGUAAAUAAAGUCAACUUUGGUGUCAGUCAUCAUUCACGAUGCGCCUCAAUUGAUGCUGCAUCUCUUAAAUAUGAA
Molecule: long non-coding RNA, 4711 nt
Organism: Syngnathus acus (greater pipefish)
Lineage: Eukaryota; Metazoa; Chordata; Actinopteri; Syngnathiformes; Syngnathidae
Exons: 8
Source: RefSeq, a predicted model, not a curated record